This 383-nucleotide unclassified non-coding RNA is filed under the name soil metagenome. Its description in RNAcentral is "partial contains 5.8S ribosomal RNA, internal transcribed spacer 2, and large subunit ribosomal RNA". The stretch from base 1 to 120 matches the Rfam family "5.8S ribosomal RNA", at positions 35 to 154 of the family's 154-position model. The record is from RNAcentral.
GAUGAAGAACGCAGCGAAAUGCGAUAAGUAAUGUGAAUUGCAGAAUUCAGUGAAUCAUCGAAUCUUUGAACGCACCUUGCACCCUUUGGCAUUCCGAAGGGUAUGCUCGUUUGAGUGUCAUUGUACUCUCACUCUCCCGAUGCUUUUGGAUCGGGAGUGGUGGACUUGGGUGUUGCUGCCUUGCUGUGGCUCGCCUCAAAUGGAGUAGUGCAACUCUUGGUUGGACAUAGUACGGCGUGAUAAGUGUCUUCGCCGGCGCCUCAUUAUAGAGGGUGGCCGAUCGGGAGCUCUGUGCUUCAAACCGUCUUCGGACAACAUCUGACAACUUGACCUCAAAUCGAGUAGGACUACCCGCUGAACUUAAGCAUAUCAAUAAGCGGGGA